CGCGAAUGGCUCAUUACAACAGCUAUAAUUUACUUGAUCUUGACAAUCCUACUUGGAUAACUGUGGUAAUUCUAGAGCUAAUACAUGCACCAAAGCUCUGACCUUACGGGAAGAGUGCAUUUAUUAGAACAAAACCAAGCGGCUUCGGUCGUUUUUUGUUGACUCAGAAUAACUAAGCUGAUCGCAUGGUCUUGUACCGGCGACGUGUCUUUCAAGUAUCUGCCUUAUCAACUUUCGAUGGUAGUGUAUCUGACUACCAUGGUUGUGACGGGUAACGGAGGAUAAGGGUUCGACUCCGGAGAAGGGGCCUGAGAAAUGGCCACUACGUCUAAGGAUGGCAGCAGGCGCGCAAAUUACCCACUCUCAGAACGAGGAGGUAGUGACGAGAAAUAACGAGCCAUCCACCAUUCGGUGGUUGGCAUCGGAAUGAGUACAAUUUAAACCCUUUAACGAGUAUCUAUGAGAGGGCAAGUCUGGCGCCAGCAGCCGCGGUAAUUCCAGCU
This 503-nucleotide ribosomal RNA is filed under the name Aglenchus agricola. RNAcentral describes it as "SSU rRNA". It matches the Rfam family "Eukaryotic small subunit ribosomal RNA", at positions 88 to 590 of the family's 1831-position model. The record is from RNAcentral. Lineage: Eukaryota; Metazoa; Nematoda; Chromadorea; Rhabditida; Tylenchidae.